This 328-nucleotide transfer RNA is filed under the name uncultured Phormidium sp. Its description in RNAcentral is "partial 16S-23S ribosomal RNA intergenic spacer". The stretch from base 123 to 195 matches the Rfam family "tRNA". The record is from RNAcentral. Lineage: Bacteria; Bacillati; Cyanobacteriota; Cyanophyceae; Oscillatoriales; Oscillatoriaceae.
UCUGGUUCGAGUCCAGGAUGGCCCACCUGGAAAAAAAGUGAUGAAUUGUCAGUAAUGAGUAAGGGAUAAUCAAUCAAUGAUUAAUACCGGACUCAUACAAUCAAAAUCAGAACUACAAGUGUGGGGGUAUAGCUCAGUUGGUAGAGCGCCUGCCUUGCACGCAGGAAGUCAGCGGUUCGAGUCCGCUUACCUCCACUCUCACUAGCUGCACUAACUACAAGCAACUACCAAAAAAAUAGAAAUCAGCACCCAGACUAACUUAACCAAAAUCAAAGAAGUCGGAAUGCUGGAGUCUAGAACUCUAGUCAGAACCUUGAAAACUGCAAAA